Non-coding RNA from Gymnopus androsaceus JB14, 98 nucleotides. NCBI's taxonomy places the organism in Eukaryota, Fungi, Basidiomycota, Agaricomycetes, Agaricales, Omphalotaceae. The record is from the annotation of a GenBank genome assembly.
ACACCGUUGGUGAAGUGGUUAUCAUGCUUGCCUUCCAUGCUGAGAGUAGUACUCAGUAAUUUCAGCAAGCGGCUCGGGUUCGAUUCCCGAACGGUGUA